This 253-nucleotide ribosomal RNA is filed under the name uncultured bacterium. RNAcentral describes it as "partial 16S ribosomal RNA". It matches the Rfam family "Bacterial small subunit ribosomal RNA", at positions 524 to 776 of the family's 1533-position model. The record is from RNAcentral.
UACGAAGGGUGCUAGCGUUGUUCGGAAUCACUGGGCGUAAAGCGCACGUAGGCGGAUUUCUAAGUCAGGUGUGAAAUCCUGGAGCUCAACUCCAGAACUGCCUUUGAUACUGGGAAUCUCGAGUCCGGGAGAGGUGAGUGGAACUGCGAGUGUAGAGGUGAAAUGCGUAGAUAUUCGCAAGAACACCAGUGGCGAAGGCGGCUCACUGGCCCGGUACUGACGCUGAGGUGCGAAAGCGUGGGGAGCAAACAGG